RNAcentral lists this ribosomal RNA (96 nucleotides) under Paramormyrops kingsleyae. Lineage: Eukaryota; Metazoa; Chordata; Actinopteri; Osteoglossiformes; Mormyridae. The record is from RNAcentral.
UCAUCCCAUUUUUAUCAUUUGUCAAAUGCUGAGCAGGUUUGGACCUGGUCAGUACUUGGAUGGGAGAACAACUAGGAAAACUGGGUUUGGUGUGGC